This is an RNA transcript of Fragaria vesca subsp. vesca, 1468 nucleotides long. RefSeq lists it as uncharacterized. The transcript is spliced from 3 exons. The record is from RefSeq and is a predicted model, not a curated record. Lineage: Eukaryota; Viridiplantae; Streptophyta; Magnoliopsida; Rosales; Rosaceae.
AAGACCAUUUAGUUUUUACUGAUUCUUUAGAGUUAAUAUUGACUUAAUUGUCUGGGUCUAGUGAACACCAUUCAUUGAUUCUUAUAUUGCUGAGUGUUACUUGAUGAGCUAGUUCGAAGUGCAACACUGCGCAGUGCGCACUGCCUAGAGAUUCUUUUAAAACUAGUUAUCUCCUACUGAGUGUUGACAUUAUCAAAUGAUAACUUUGGUUUAACAAUUUGCAGGGAGUGGUCCUUAAGAUAUUAGCUGCUAUCGGUAUCAUUCGAUCUCAUCAUUUCUGGUUGGAUGUGGAGCAUAUUAACGAAGCUAUUCAGAAUGUUUUGAUAUGUCUUGAGAUGGUUGUCUUCUCUGUUCUUCAGCAAUAUGCAUAUCAUGUUGCACCUUACAGUGGAGACGUUGAAACAAAGAUGAGAGUAAACAAGAAGAACGAAUGAUUUGAAGAAUGACAUCAUUUUAUAUAUCUUCUUUAACCUCUGAAGUGAUAUUAAGGCCCUAGGUCUGAGACUGGAACUUCGAAACGAGUCGAUCCACAUUUAUGUAUUCUUUUCUUCCUUCCUGCAAUUUUCCAUAAUAGUGGAAAGCAUUUCGUUCAACAAAUCACGUGCUAGAACCAAAUGAUGAAAACCUGCAUUUCGUAUAGGGUUUGAGUCACUUGCGAUACCUUUGUAGACGGCUGAUGAGAGAAAUGCAUCUGCAGCCAUGGCUAAUUUGUCAUGAUCCUCUGCAGUCUAAAAGUGAGAGACCGCGAUCAUCAAUGGCAACAUCUUGUGAGAAGAUUAAACCCUCAAGUAUAUAGUGUUUUCAAACUUCUUACCACCAAGUAUAUGUCACCAUACUCGAUCGUACAGAAUACUAUAUUCUUAACUUGUUAUCUAUGUAUUCUUACCAAAACCAUAAAACUUGGUGACGAGGAAAAGCUAUCUUGGGUAGAUUCCUAUAUAUUAUAUAUACAUGGCUAGCCCGCCCCAAAAUCCAAAAAAAUCUAAAAAUCAUAGCCAGCCCUAAACCUCAUAGUCUUGUAGUAGAAAACAUGGGUGAUGAUGGUGCCUCCUACAAAUCGAUUGUGCCCAUCACUGCAGCUGUAAUGGCAGCUGGGUCAGCUGGGUUUCUGUUCUAUCAUCUCUCUGCUAAGCGUCUGGACGAAAGGGCUUAUAGAAAAGAGCAGCUCUCGAUUCAGCGUGACAUACUUGCUUGUGUUUCUGCAGCUAUCAAGCAUGUCACCAUUGGGCCCCAGGGUGAAAGUGCGGGUAAGAAGAAGUGGUGAGGUUAACUAGCAUAUCUAUCGAAAGUUAGACCUUGCAUUUGCAUUACUAAUUAAAAGCUUCUGAAAUUUGCAACAAGAACGUUUGCUUAUUUAUGAUUUGAUGUAUGUGACUUAUGCAUAUGGUUUCUCUAUACAUAUGGCUGCAAUGGAGAUAACCAGUCAGUGAAUAAAACCGAGUUCAAACUUUCUCUUAAAUUUUAAAAC